CCUACGGGUGGCAGCAGUCGAGAAUCAUUCACAAUGGGGGAAACCCUGAUGGUGCGACGCCGCGUGGGGGAAUGAAGGUCUUCGGAUUGUAAACCCCUGUCAUGUGGGAGCAAAUUAAAAAGAUAGUACCACAAGAGGAAGAGACGGCUAACUCUGUGCCAGCAGCCGCGGUAAUACAGAGGUCUCAAGCGUUGUUCGGAAUCACUGGGCGUAAGGCGUGCGUAGGCUGUUUCGUAAGUCGUGUGUGAAAGGCGCGGGCUCAACCCGCGGACGGCACAUGAUACUGCGGGACUAGAGUAAUGGAGGGGGAACCGGAAUUCUCGGUGUAGCAGUGAAAUGCGUAGAUAUCGAGAGGAACACUCGUGGCGAAGGCGGGUUCCUGGACAUUAACUGACGCUGAGGCACGAAGGCCAGGGGAGCGAAAGGGAUUAGAUACCCCAGUAGUC
This 446-nucleotide ribosomal RNA is filed under the name uncultured bacterium. RNAcentral describes it as "partial 16S ribosomal RNA". It matches the Rfam family "Bacterial small subunit ribosomal RNA", at positions 338 to 795 of the family's 1533-position model. The record is from RNAcentral.